UACGUAGGGUCCGAGCGUUGUCCGGAAUUAUUGGGCGUAAAGGGCUCGUAGGCGGUUUGUCGCGUCGGGAGUGAAAACUCAGGGCUCAACCCUGAGCGUGCUUCCGAUACGGGCAGACUAGAGGUAUGCAGGGGAGAACGGAAUUCCUGGUGUAGCGGUGGAAUGCGCAGAUAUCAGGAGGAACACCGGUGGCGAAGGCGGUCUCUGGGCAUUACCUGACGCUGAGGAGCGAAAGUGUGGGGAGCGAACAGG
This 252-nucleotide ribosomal RNA is filed under the name uncultured bacterium. RNAcentral describes it as "partial 16S ribosomal RNA". It matches the Rfam family "Bacterial small subunit ribosomal RNA", at positions 524 to 776 of the family's 1533-position model. The record is from RNAcentral.